RNAcentral lists this transfer RNA (94 nucleotides) under Candidatus Zambryskibacteria bacterium RIFOXYD1_FULL_39_35. Its description in RNAcentral is "tRNA-Met". It matches the Rfam family "tRNA". Rfam says of the family: Transfer RNA (tRNA) molecules are approximately 80 nucleotides in length. Their secondary structure includes four short double-helical elements and three loops (D, anti-codon, and T loops). Lineage: Bacteria; Candidatus Zambryskiibacteriota. The record is from RNAcentral.
UGGGGCGUAGCGCAGUCUGGUAGCGCGCCUGUUGUUCGGGUUCAUAAUCCGAUGGAACAGGAGGUCGCAGGUUCGAACCCUGUCGCCCCAACCA